Molecule: ribosomal RNA, 261 nt
Filed under: uncultured prokaryote
Description: partial 16S ribosomal RNA
Rfam family: Bacterial small subunit ribosomal RNA
Source: RNAcentral
UACGUAGGUGGCAAGCGUUAUCCGGAAUUAUUGGGCGUAAAGAGCGCGCAGGUGGUUGAUUAAGUCUGAUGUGAAAGCCCACGGCUUAACCGUGGAGGGUCAUUGGAAACUGGUCGACUUGAGUGCAGAAGAGGGAAGUGGAAUUCCAUGUGUAGCGGUGAAAUGCGUAGAGAUAUGGAGGAACACCAGUGGCGAAGGAGGCUUCCUGGUCUGUAACUGACACUGAGGCGCGAAAGCGUGGGGAGCAAACAGGAUUAGAUA